GUCAUGACAAAGAUGUUGCAGAAGAUUGCAUUAUCUUUUAAGGGUCUGUCCGCCCCUAUUAAGAAGCGACCACACUCCAUUUCUGUGAGACCCGCUGAGGACCCUAAACCCCAGCUUGGGAACCCGUGCACUAUAGGGCAUGCUCUCCGGCGUCAGGGCUGAAUGGAGGCAUGGGCUACAGAGAAAGAAAGAGAGGAGGAGGAAAUGAAGUGAGAGGUUGUAGCGGAGUUGCAUGGGAUGCUGCUGCUGCUGCUGGUGAUACUGGUGCCGCAGCAGAGGCUCCAUCCAUCUAUCCAUCCAUCCAUCCGUCGCUCCAUCCCUCCCUCGAAGAGAAAGCAGAAAACAAGGAGUGGUUAUACGAUUCCCCACAAGCAGAAGGAGAAGCGCACAGAAGAGAAAGGAAUAGCAGAGAGAGGAGGAGGGGGGCGUUUCCCUGCACGGUUUAGCCUAUUCUCACUCCUCAGCAUGGAUACAAUGUGAUGCAUAUGGAGUUGCUUCUUCAGGGAAAGCGGUAAGUUAAGCAUUUUUCGCUGUUAUUUGAGCAUGAAAAGCGUUUUGGAUCCAGUUGACAAUGCGGCGUUGGUCAAGGUCCCAUCACUUUAGGCUGUCCUAAAAUAACGGGAAAAUUUUGAUCAUCCCUGAAGUGAGAAAAAAACCCAAUUAGAAUUAAAACCUAAGGCUGAAAUUGCCGUUUGUACAUGCACGGCGUGGGAUUUACGCACGAUCAAUUAGCCGUUGGCACGCGUAAUGAUUUGAUAACUAACUAAAACAGGUUGGUCCCAGCAGCGUCACCCCCAAGUUCCCAUCAAACGACUUGAUGAGGGCUGCACCUGAACGCAGCUUAAUAUUUAACCACCUCCAGCAGCAGCAGCAUGUGUCAACGUGGCUUCCUCUUCCCUUCCCUUCCUUUGUAGCCUGUAGGAGCAGAGACAAAGAUGGUUCAACUCUCCCUCUAAAGGGUUAAAGAUUCAAUCCACGCUUGCCACUCUGAACUGGGUUCUCCUUGUCAGUGGGAGCGGAUGUAUUUACAAACAAAGAAAGCUUGAUAUCCACGCGUGUCACGUAGAAGACAGGUGCUGGUUUAAGUGCUUUUUUUUUUUUUUUUUUUUUACAGUGGUUGUGUGUGGUUGUCUGCUUAUCUGGGCCAGUAGGCCAAAUAAAGCCUUAAUGGUGCAUUUUAGGCCCAGCAGGAAGAUUAAGGAAACCAAAGUGUUUCUGUUAAGUUUGCCACUAAAAGUUUCUUGUUCUGUACUCUUGGCUGUAUUUGUUGCAAAAGCCAGCACUGUAUCGUUUACUUUUCUGUCUGGGUAUUGACUGUUUGACUCCACUGUGCAGCCAAAAUGACUGCAAAGAUUUGCUGUUGCAGGCAUAAGCAUAAACAUCUUUCAUAACAGCGCCUUUAGUUCCAAGCAAUUAAGCAGUGAUGUGCAAGCAGCAGAGCCCAGCGUCCUGCUCAGUCUGUCUCCAUCUCAAGCUCCAACGCAGCUCUUGUUGUUGCCUCUAGCACUGCCACUUGUGAUUCUGCAACACCAGGUACAUUAAAGGAUUGAUAAGUCGAGCAUAAAUAUGACACAGACCGAGCGCCUUUUAUUAGCAGUCCCAGCUGGAGCCAACUCACUUUCAAUCAAGUCAAUUCAGGAAAUGGAUUUUUUUUUUUUUAUAAAAGCAUGCCAGAUGUCUACCACUAUGAAAUAAAGUUCUUUUCUGCCCGUGCAGCUUCAAUUGGGGCCAGAGGUGUAGUUUUGAAACGUGUAGACGGGGUCAGAUCAGGUCUAAAGAAUAAAACAGAAAGCCUUUGUUUCUCUGCAAAAUUCAUCAUUCAUCUCUCUACGUGCAUUUAUAAACACUAAAGAUAUCAAGCUUAAAAUAUACUAAAGUAAUUGAAUAUAUCCAUUUCAAAAAAGUAGACCAAACAAGUGCAUUUAGCGCAGCCUUAAGUGUUAUACAACCUUUUAGAAAAAACUACAGUGGAAAAUAAACAAAAGGCCCUAGUCCAUUUAUUCAAAACUGCUUCUGCAGGCACACCCAUCUAUUCCAGACUGACUCCCACACACACACAUGCACACACAGAUACACACACUCUCUCUCAGAAACAGCUAAAAACUACACUGAAGCAUGCCUCUAAAUUAGACAGAGACACUGGGGUGACACGGAGCAGACACACACUGGUCCUGUGUACUGAGGAGGGCAGCAGCAGCAGCCGGAGCAGGGUGUAUUUUUACACCAGAUCCCUGACACCUCUGUACAUCUCUUCACAGCUCUCGGUGAGAACAGAAGACACGUCCACUUGAGUUGUCAUCAUCUGCGGCCCCAGACGUGGACAGUUGGGAUGGAGGGAAAUGCAAGAGAGAAAGAGAGAGAGAGAGAGGGGAAACUAGAUAAUGAGGGAGACAAGUGUCAGCAUCUUCUCCAGCUUUGUUUUUGGCACUUCCUUUAGCAGUGACAGCGGGUUAGCAUGUACACGAACACAGGUGUGAGUGAGAUGAGAGGGGUUGUCGGUGGCAGAUGGGAACUUUCCCUGGAAGUGUCAGGUCUCAUGGUGCGCAGGUUUGAUGAGGAGUGAAAGGAUUCAGGGGAUGGGUGUAGGGUUAAUGCACAUGUCUGAGCAGAUAAACAAGCUGAUUUGAGGUUGAGAGAGCGGGGACUUGAGGGUGUAAAAUGGAUAAACAAGAAGAAGAAGAAGGAGGAGAAGAAGAAGGCGGGGUUAUGAUAUGAUUAGAGUGGAGGAGUUAAGAGAGGAGAACAUGAGAAAGAGAGUUGUGUAGGGGAAGUAGCUGGAGUUUUCCAGGGGGAGCUGUCUGUGGUGCUGAUGCAAAAAAAAAAAAAAAAAAACACCCCCCUUUUUCCCUAUGACUCUCCCCCUCUCUCUCGUUUUCUCUCCUCCACAGCUGUUGAUUGACAACUACUGUGUCUCUAAUUGGCAAGUGUAGAUGGUGGGAGAGUCAGGCUUAUUCUCCAUGGGACAGAGCGAGGAAAAGAAGAAGAGUGUGUCUGUGUGUGUGUGUGCUACUAGAGAGUCUUCCCACAAUAAGUGAGAGGAGGAGACAAAGAUAGGUAGACAGAAAAGGAAGGGAAAAAUGUAAUGGAGGAAGGCAUGAAGGUGAGAGCUGAACAUCUGUUUGAUAAUCAGAGUCUCCCCUCAGUGCAGUCUAACACACACUGACACCUAUUUGAUAAUUGGUGAGCCUGCCCUCUCCCUCAGCGCCGGGCUAAACGGUUGCUUGAUACCGGGGAGAGCAAAGGGACUAGCUGUUGGCAGUGCAAUCUGUUUACUCAGUGCAGCUCAGGUAAAGAUGCAUAGCCGGCUGCCUGCGUGUCUGUGUUUGUGUGUGUGUCUGUGCAUGUGUACGCUAGCUAUUGCAUAAAGCCUACAAUCUGGUUAUUAGUCUCACAUCGUGAACAAGACGUGACUUUAAGCAUGCGUGAAAUGUUGUAGUAGUACCUUUUGCUGCUGCUGCUGCAGUGUUACUCAAGGAUAAAUAUGUGUUUUGUCUUUCUUAUCCCAGAUGCUGUCCUGAAAGAUUUGCCUCCGCACAGACCUCCUCCUUCCUUCUCUUCACAUUGCGAUCACAUUCAGAGAGCUGAAGGAUGCGCACAGAGAAGGAGUGGAGUAAAGAAAGAAAAAAAGGAGGGAGAAAGUAAUGGAAGUGGGGGGUGGAGGCCUCUUUGCUCCGGUCUCGACAACGGGUAUUCUUGGGUUGAUAAUACAGAUGUGGAUGUUAUUGCUUGAGAAUACGCGUAGUCGAGAGGAAGCUUUGUCAUCUACAAGGGUCCAAAAAGCAGAGAUCUUUUUGGAGGAAUACAAUGGCAGACACACACGAAACAUGGGAUGGUUUUUAAUUAGGCACCUAUGAGCGACUUUUUGUGGGAAAGGGUUUAUUUUGUUCUAUCAGGAAGGUUUUUCAAAUAGAACGCAAUCAGAGGCCGGUCAAAUCAAAUCCAGCCACUGAAAAGGUUUUAUCAUCAUAGCUUUAUCAACCAUGUCACUCUUCACACCUGUGGAGGAAAUGAGUUUGUUUCGCCGUCCGAAUUCAGUCCGUCCUGUGAAAGCGCUGGCAGCAAGUGGGGGGAAGACUAGCACCGUGCCACUAAGCUAAACCCCCCAGGCAUUAGUUCAGGGAGCUUAACACAAAAGUCUUCAGACUCAGACCUUAAUUCCCAAACCUUCUUGAUUACAUAUCCUUGUCAGUCAGUCGAGCACACAAGUGAGCCUAUAAUCUUAUCAGUUGAUGAAGGUCUUUCGCAGCCCUUCACACUCUGCACCAAACAUGUCUCUCAGACGAGACUGGUUUUAAAGUUUGCAAAAUUGGUGCCAAAAACAGCUUUUUUUUUUAGAUAUCGGGGACAGGAACCCUUGCUGUGCCACAGGAUAGUAUAGCUGUGCAUAGCCAUCAUCCUGCUCCCGCUCCUGCCUCUACUCUUCUAUUUUUUUUUGUCUUCCUGGCUCAUGCUAAAAAUGUGCGAAGAGUUUGAUGCCUGUAGCAGCAACAGGAGACAGUAACACAUGAGGACAUGUCAAGGCUUGCACCCGUUGCUGACGUUUCAGCUUUCGGCUCAACUGACUGGCUGUCAUGAUGGAGAGGAGACUCACACACACACACACACAGAUGCACACACGGGCAGACAUGUAUAUAAACUGCAGCAGGGUUCACAUGAUCAACAUGCCUGUAGGGAAAUAAGGGAUUGAUAGGUCUAAAGAAAACCAGCGUUCGAUUCCUUACAUAUAUUUGAAUGCACAAACAUCGCCACAUUGCAGCAAGGUUCACCGAGUCCAUGUGCCAGUGGGGAAAUAAGGGAUUGAUUGAUUUUAUGGGUAACUAUUUUUAGUCAGAAUGAUGGAUGUUUAUGUCUUUUAUUGAUCAAGUCGAGGUGCAGGUCUGAAGAAUUCUUAAAGUCAGGGCAUGCUGAUUUAUCAGGGAGCUGUGAAGUUGGAAUAAAACAUCCAGAAAUACAUUUUUGGUACAUUAGCAUUAUUGCUAAGUACUAUAAAUUAAAAACUCUGCGCUUCAUUGCAAAUUCAGCAGUAUAUUAGCAUCUGUUUGUGAAUGCGCCUGUGAUAAAUUACUCUCUUAUCGUUUACUACUCCAUGAUUUCUUACUCCUGUGUAAGCAAAUCUCUUAUUUAUUAGCACAGAAAGUAAUCAUAAUUUAUACACAUUUCACACUGACGUUGUGUAAACUUGUUGAUUUGGCAAAGCUGUUUCUGUGGUUUUUGUGCGUAUUUGUGCAUGCGUGUGUGUGUGUAUGUGUGUGUUCUAAGCAACAAAAUGACUAUUGUGAGCACAGCUCCAGGUGCCUAGCAACCGAAUUGCUCUGUUUCCUUGGCAACAGUUGCCUUGCACUCACUGUGUGGGUGAUUGGCAGCCUUGACAACGGAGACGGAGUGACACUUGACCUCACGUGCUGAAUGGGAGAGGAGAAAGGAGUGAGAGAUAGAAGAGAGAGGGGGAGGCAGUGGGAGGGGACGAGCGCAGACAGAUGAGAGACUAAGUGAUAAUCAUUCUCCAUUGUAAUCAUCCUCCAGCAUGUUUCAUAAGGCAGUGGCAAUACCUCUCCAGCUGGGGUCCAUCAUCAAACACACUGCACAGUUAGGCACGCGCAUGCACGACACACUCCUUCUUGGGUGGAGAGCCCAGGCAGGCACUCCAUAUCUCAUCUACUAUCACUCAGCUCUGCCUGGUGCACAGCCUCACUACGCUGUGUCUGCUUUCAUUUGUGAUCUGCUGCAUCCUGCGCUCAGCGGGCAUGAAUGGAUCCUGGACUCCUGAAAAUGUGUCACGGUCACAGAUGCCACAGGAGGGUAGAUCAGAAGGCACGCACAGAGACAUUGUUCUUUGAAAACCAGCACUUCCACUGCUGUUUGGCACCUUUGAAUAAAAGUGGUGUAAUUAUUAAAAUGUGUUUUUGGUGGUUUUCCAUCCAUUCACUGGCUUAGGGGAUCCCAUUGUGUCAGGUUUAACAAAAAACAUGUUUUUCAUGGCUGGCUUCACCUGCAGAAAUGACAAAAAAAAGGAACAGUAGAAAUGUUCAAACUGUAAUAAAAAAAAAAAAAUGUAUUUUGAGUCUUUGAUUUUUCAAGUUACGUUUUAGUUUAAAAAAAACAGAAAUGUGAAUUUUUUUAAGGCUCUUUGAUACAAAUUACAAUACAAAUUUUCCUUUACCUUUAUCUUAAGUGCAACUAUGAUGUUUACUGUUGUUCAACCAGAAUCCCUUUAUGCUUGAAUCAUCUCUUUAACCCUCCUCCUGUGUUAGGGUCUGUACCGACCCGUUUUUGUUUUUAAAUGCUUAAAAGAACCACGUAAAUUAGAUUUUUAAAUUGACUAAAUUCUAAAAUGCUCUUAUUAAGAUUAUGGCCCUUGUCGUGUUGAGGUCGCUGUUGACCCGGUUAGAUCAAUAUCUAAUAAUUAGAGCAAAAACUGAAAUCAUAAGUGCACUGUCAGGCACCACACUGACAGUCAGAUCCUCUUCCAAUCAUGUAAGAUUUAGGAAAUUCUCAUUUUGCCUGUUUUUCCCUUCACGAGAAACUACGUUGGGCAUGUCCAGACAUGUGAGAUCAAUUCAGUAUAGAUGUCUGUAUGAGGGGUGAACCGACAAAGAAAGGCCCAGAGGACCACACCAAAAAAUAUUGUAAGCAAUAUUCUCAUGGAUAAUGAAGCCUAACAAGUUAACCUAGAGACGAGAACUAAAUUGGGUGAUAGAGAAUUGUUUUUAGUGUAAUUUACAGCUGAUUUAAGAUAUGGGUCAAAACCGACCCUUGACAUGGUGGUUGUGUAGUAAAAGCUAACAGGCGAGGAAGGAUAAUCAAUAAAUUAAUAACUCCUUCCAGAAAUAAUGCCAAUUCGCAACAAAUGUAAUUGCAAGAUGCUUUGCAAAAAAACUGGUCUUAGUCAUACUCUUCACAAUAUUUACAAAGACCUUAACAUCAAGAUAAAAUGAGAUCAAAUCCCAUCUUGUAAUAUCAGACCCACUCUGAUCACAUCUCUACCUACCAUGAGUAUCAAAGCAUCCUUUUAAGGGCAGAAACCUUCAGCAGAACCAGAUUCAUGUGAGACAGUCACCUGCUGAGAGUGCUGUGAGUUUAGAGGGGGAUGCAAAGAGAGAGAGAGAUGGGUAGAGGUUUACAUUAACAACAGUAGUGCAUGCAGAUAAAUCAUUACUGUGCCUGAGAUAAUGAGCACAGUAGUAUGCUCGCUUGGUUGAUGGCAAGUUUAAGUCAUCAGGUCAAUAGUAAUAGCAUAGCAGUAAUUACAUUUGAAACUAUGAUGUUGAGGUAAAUAAUGGGGGUUGGAGGAUGAUUGAAGGAGGAG
This is a non-coding RNA of Xyrichtys novacula (pearly razorfish), 7306 nucleotides long. Lineage: Eukaryota; Metazoa; Chordata; Actinopteri; Labriformes; Labridae. The record is from the annotation of a GenBank genome assembly.